RNAcentral lists this ribosomal RNA (448 nucleotides) under uncultured bacterium. RNAcentral's name for it is "partial 16S ribosomal RNA". It matches the Rfam family "Bacterial small subunit ribosomal RNA", at positions 29 to 523 of the family's 1533-position model. The record is from RNAcentral.
AACGAACGCUGGCGGCAUGCCUAACACAUGCAAGUCGAACGAGAUCUUCGGGUCUAGUGGCGCACGGGUGCGUAACGCGUGGGAAUCUGCCCUUUGGUUCGGAAUAACAGUUGGAAACGACUGCUAAUACCGGAUGAUGACGAAAGUCCAAAGAUUUAUCGCCAGAGGAUGAGCCCGCGUAGGAUUAGCUAGUUGGUGUGCUAAAGGCGCACCAAGGCGACGAUCCUUAGCUGGUCUGAGAGGAUGAACAGCCACACUGGACUGAGACACGGCCCAGACUCCUACGGGAGGCAGCAGUGGGGAAUAUUGGACAAUGGGCGAAAGCCUGAUCCAGCAAUGCCGCGUGAGUGAUGAAGGCCUUAGGGUUGUAAAGCUCUUUUACCCGGGAUGAUAAUGACAGUACCGGGAGAAUAAGCUCCGGCUAACUCCGUGCCAGCCGCCGCGGUAA